Molecule: ribosomal RNA, 1216 nt
Filed under: uncultured Rhizaria
Lineage: Eukaryota
Description: SSU rRNA
Rfam family: Eukaryotic small subunit ribosomal RNA
Source: RNAcentral
CGGUAAUUCCAGCUCCAAUAGCGUAUACUAAAGUUGUUGCAGUUAAAAAGCUCGUAGUUGGAUUUCUGCGGGGACGGAGCGGCCGGUCGCAACUUGCGACUCGAGCUAGCGCUUUCCCCGCAUCCUGCCGCGAACCGUGCUACCAUUAGUUUGGUGGCGCUGGGGAUCGGCUCGAUUACUUUGAGAAAAAUAGAGUGUUCAAAGCAGGCCACACGCCUUGAAUAAGUUAGCAUGGAAUAAUGACUAAGGACUUUGGUUCUUUUCGUUGGUGUUCGGGACUGAAGUAAUGAUUGAUAGGGACAGUUGGGGCGGUCCGUAUUCCAAAGCGAGAGGUGAAAUUCUUAGACCUUCAGAAGACGAACAGCUGCGAAAGCGUUCCGCAAGGAUGUUCCCUUUGAUCAAGAACGAAAGUUGGGGGAUCGAAGACGAUCAGAUACCGUCGUAGUCUCAACUAUAAACUAUACCAGCUAGGGAUCGGCCAACGUUUAAUUAUUCGACUUGGUCGGCACCUUAUGAGAAAUCAAAGCAUCUGGGUUCCGGGGGGAGUAUGGUCGCAAGGCUGAAACUUAAAGGAAUUGACGGAAGGGCACCACCAGGCGUGGAGCCUGUGGCUUAAUUUGACUCAACACGGGAAAACUUACCAGGUCCAGACAUAGGAAGGAUUGACAGAUUGAUAGCUCUUUCUUGAUUCUGUGGGUGGUGGUGCAUGGCCGUUUUUAGUCGGUGAAGUGAUUUGUCUGCUUAAUUGCGUUAACGGACGAGACCCCAGCCUGCUAAAUAGCGCGGCCGAGCUUUGCUCGGUACGAGCUUCUUAGAGGGACCAUGAUGCGCGAUAGCACAAGGAAGUUUGGGGCAACAACAGGUCUGUGAUGCCCUUAGAUGUUCUGGGCCGCACACGGGCUACACUGGCGCCUGCAACGAGCAUAUCAGCUGGCCCGAGAGGGUCUUGGCUAAUCUUUGGAACCGGCGCCGUGCUUGGGAUUGACCAUUGCAAUUGUUGGUCAUGCAACGAGGAAUGCCUUGUAGACGCGAGUCAUCAGCUCGCAUUGAAUACGUCCCUGCCCUUUGUACACACCGCCCGUCGCUCCUACCGAUGAAUGUUCCGAUGAAAUUUUCGGAGAGCGCCGGAGAACGGGGCUCUGCCCUGCAGAACUGGAGGCUCAAAGUCACUUAAAUCUGAACAUUUCGAGGAAGGAGAAGUCGUAACAAGGUAACC